RNAcentral lists this small RNA (28 nucleotides) under Bombyx mori (domestic silkworm). RNAcentral's name for it is "ovarian small RNA-23198". Lineage: Eukaryota; Metazoa; Arthropoda; Insecta; Lepidoptera; Bombycidae. The record is from RNAcentral.
UAGUUGUUACGAUCCGAUACGUCGCCUG